Molecule: ribosomal RNA, 509 nt
Filed under: Shigella sp.
Lineage: Bacteria; Pseudomonadati; Pseudomonadota; Gammaproteobacteria; Enterobacterales; Enterobacteriaceae
Description: bacterial SSU rRNA
Rfam family: Bacterial small subunit ribosomal RNA
Source: RNAcentral
AAUGUCUGGGAAACUGCCUGAUGGAGGGGGAUAACUACUGGAAACGGUAGCUAAUACCGCAUAACGUCGCAAGACCAAAGAGGGGGACCUUCGGGCCUCUUGCCAUCGGAUGUGCCCAGAUGGGAUUAGCUUGUUGGUGGGGUAACGGCUCACCUAGGCGACGAUCCCUAGCUGGUCUGAGAGGAUGACCAGCCACACUGGAACUGAGACACGGUCCAGACUCCUACGGGAGGCAGCAGUGGGGAAUAUUGCACAAUGGGCGCAAGCCUGAUGCAGCCAUGCCGCGUGUAUGAAGAAGGCCUUCGGGUUGUAAAGUACUUUCAUCGGGGAGGAAGGGAGUAAAGUUAAUACCUUUGCUCAUUGACGUUACCCGCAGAAGAAGCACCGGCUAACUCCGUGCCAGCAGCCGCGGUAAUACGGAGGGUGCAAGCGUUAAUCGGAAUUACUGGGCGUAAAGCGCACGCAGGCGGUUUGUUAAGUCAGAUGUGAAAUCCCUCGGGCUCAACCUG